Micropterus salmoides (largemouth bass) is the source of this 174-nucleotide long non-coding RNA. RefSeq lists it as uncharacterized. The transcript has 3 exons. The record is from RefSeq and is a predicted model, not a curated record. NCBI's taxonomy places the organism in Eukaryota, Metazoa, Chordata, Actinopteri, Centrarchiformes, Centrarchidae.
UUGGACAUUAUCCAGGGGCUCAGCUUGGUGUUGGAGGUUACAGAGGUAGAGCAGGCCCAAAGCAAGGUGGACAUGGAACCCAGGGAGCCUAUGGGGCCAGUCUGGGCACAGGAAUGGCUUUGGGGGCUGGACUUCUAAAUGGGCUGGGACUGGGUUUGGGCCAGGGAGGGAAAC